RNAcentral lists this ribosomal RNA (253 nucleotides) under uncultured bacterium. Its description in RNAcentral is "partial 16S ribosomal RNA". It matches the Rfam family "Bacterial small subunit ribosomal RNA", at positions 524 to 776 of the family's 1533-position model. The record is from RNAcentral.
UACGUAGGGUGCAAGCGUUGUCCGGAAUUAUUGGGCGUAAAGCGCGCGCAGGUGGUUCUUUAAGUCUGAUGUGAAAGCCCACGGCUCAACCGUGGAGGGUCAUUGGAAACUGGGGAACUUGAGUGCAGAAGAGGAAAGUGGAAUUCCAAGUGUAGCGGUGAAAUGCGUAGAGAUUUGGAGGAACACCAGUGGCGAAGGCGACUUUCUGGUCUGUAACUGACACUGAGGCGCGAAAGCGUGGGGAGCAAACAGG